AACUAUAUCAUAAUAAAACGACUCGCGGCUGACAUUUAUUGUGACUUAAAAUAUAAAUACUGCAAUAACCAGCGUAAUAACGCACCAGCUCUUAUAUCACUGUAGAACGAUACCUAGACUACCAAUAUGCUGAAGCUAUUCCUGGCACUGGUCGUUCUGGUGGCAUUAGUCCAAGUAUCACUGUGUCACUUGCCGUACCCGAUGAUCUAUCCUCCGUUCCCGACAUACCCGACCUUCCCCGGUGCCUUCCCCGGUGCCUUCCCCUGGUAUAUGCAUGAAAUGUUGGAUUACCCAAGACCAAUGGGCAGAUAAGCGACAUGGUGGCAGACGGAUCUGUUGACAGUGGUAAAGGGAAAUUAGAAAGCGAAACCAUCGGUGACUGCUAUAAAGGGACCAAUGACAUUUAUAUAAUGUGACACGCGACAUUUUGGUCGUUGUGACUCACUCAUUGUCGGUGUAAUAAAUCGAUUGUGCCGA
Molecule: long non-coding RNA, 477 nt
Organism: Gigantopelta aegis
Lineage: Eukaryota; Metazoa; Mollusca; Gastropoda; Neomphalida; Peltospiridae
Exons: 3
Source: RefSeq, a predicted model, not a curated record